This 395-nucleotide ribosomal RNA is filed under the name uncultured bacterium. RNAcentral's name for it is "partial 16S ribosomal RNA". It matches the Rfam family "Bacterial small subunit ribosomal RNA", at positions 523 to 918 of the family's 1533-position model. The record is from RNAcentral.
AUACGUAGGUGACAAGCGUUAUCCGGAUUUACUGGGCGUAAAGGGCGUGUAGGCGGUCUUGCAAGUCAGAAGUGAAAUUCCUGAGCUCAACUCGGGCGCUGCUUCUGAAACUGCAGGACUUGAGUGCUGGAGGGGAUAGCGGAAUUCCUAGUGGAGCGGUAAAAUGCGCAGAUAUUAGGAAGAACACCGGUGGCGAAGGCGGCUAUCUGGACAGUAACUGACGCUGAGGCGCGAAAGCCAGGGGAGCGAACGGGAUUAGAUACCCCGGUAGUCCUGGCCGUAAACGAUGAAUGCUAGGUGUGGGUGUCGAGAGGCAUCCGUGCCGGAGUUAACGCGAUAAGCAUUCCACCUGGGGAGUACGCCGGCAACGGUGAAACUCAAAUGAAUUGGCGGGG